CUUGAACGGAAUGAUUUUGCUAGAGAGAAACAGAGAGAAAUGUGCAGAGCAACCAGGACAGGAACUAGAAACCACAUCCCUACAGACUCACCACUGCUGCUUGUCAUGAAUUAGUAUAUUUUUGCAGUGGUGUUUGUGUGACGAAACAUACCCAGGAACCUCAUGAUGCUGAAGAUAAAGUGAUUCCUCUUGAUCAGCAGAACUUCAUAGCAGCUCCAGAAUUCUUCAUUGGCCUGCUGAAUUCCUUUAAGCUCCAAAACCACAGAAACCAACUUGACUACUGUCAUAUCUGCUGCAAUCUAACACACACAGUACACACAAAGAAAAUCUUCAUCUAC
This is a long non-coding RNA of Labeo rohita (rohu), 338 nucleotides long. RefSeq lists it as uncharacterized. The record is from RefSeq and is a predicted model, not a curated record. NCBI's taxonomy places the organism in Eukaryota, Metazoa, Chordata, Actinopteri, Cypriniformes, Cyprinidae. The transcript has 3 exons.